Long non-coding RNA from Homo sapiens (human), 1568 nucleotides. Ensembl annotates it as CCDC26 long non-coding RNA. Its record names the gene CCDC26. The record is from Ensembl. NCBI's taxonomy places the organism in Eukaryota, Metazoa, Chordata, Mammalia, Primates, Hominidae.
GCAGAGUCUUAGGGGGUUAUCUAAUGUAGUCUUGGGGUGGCUGGAUAGACUUCCCAAAGAAGGUGAUGCCGAAGCUGAGGUCGGAAAUUACGAAGAUCAGCUAUAAAUUUAAAAGUGGAAUUGCUAGGUUACAUGAUCUUUAAUAAAUGAAAUAAAUGUGACUGUAUGUCCUACAUCCCAUUCCUGUUGUCUUCCAUGUCUCCUCAGAGGAAGGCCUGAGGAGAGAAGACACAUAGUCAUGCUGACUAAACCAGAUCACCUAGAAUUACCAAAUGGAAAGAUUGUGCCUGCAGCCUGGCCUGUUGCCCACAGCGGUCUACCUGCCACACUGGGAAAGAUCGAGCAGAGACAGAGAAGAAAAGGAGGCUCCAUUUUUCAGGCUGCUCUCCCGCAGGCUCAUGUUUUGUGUUCAUGCCAGGCAGAGAACACAAAAUGUUCCAAUAAAUAAGUAUCAAAGGUUAGUGGUGAAAAUGAAGGAGGAGGAGGCAUUGCGUGAAAAACUAAACAUGCAAAAUAUUACACACAAAGAGAACCAAAAUGCAGGUUCACUGGAAAUGAUAGACAAUAUGUUAAAACAAGAGGAGAGAAGAGAGCUGAAAUAAUCAAAUGGAAACACACAAUUUAGGGCUAAGAUCUUGUUGUGUUCAGCCACAAAUGAUGGCCAGCAGUGAGGAAUCUGUGUGUUCUCCACACUCUUCGCUCCUGGGAAGUCAACUCACAUGGACCAUGAUAUCAAUAUCUGCUCCUUCCCCUAAUAUCUGUUUGACCUUGGGUCAGUUACUUAAACUUCCUAAGCCUUAGUUUCUUUGUCUGGAAAAUAGGGAUAGUUAUACCUACCACACAACCACUUUGUAAUGAAUAUGUUGGAAAUUAUAUGCAAAUUGGCUUCCGUUGGUGUUUGGAACAUAGUAGGUUUUUAACUGGAAUAUAAUAGCUACCAUUAUCAGUAUCAUCAUAUUAAUUUAUAUUUCCAUCUUCAGCCCUUAACCCAGGAUCUUCAGUAAAUGUUGAAUUCUCAAAUUUGUUAAAUUCACUUGUCUAUACUAAUAUUUUACUCUAGGUUUCUUAGAAUAUUCUAGAUAAUAUUAUUAUGUAGAAUAUGUUAUGUAAGCUUCAUCUUAUCUGUAAAUAUAGUUUUACUUUUUCCUUUCUAAUUUUUAUGUCGAUUACUUCUUUUUCUUGGCUUAUUGAAUUGGCUAGGAUUCCCGUACAGUGUUGAAUACGUGCAGCAAGACUGCACAUCUUGCCUUGUUCCUGGUCCCACAGAGAGAAUAUCCAGUACUUCACAAUAAGUAUGUGUUAAUUGUAGAUUUUAUUAGAUUGAGGAAGUUCCCUUUCCUUUCAAGUCAGUCUUUUUAUUUUAAACAUGUAUUGAAGUUUUGUCAAAUGUCUUCAUCUAUUGGAAUAAUUAUACAUAUCUCUUUUUUAUUCUGUUAAUAUUACAUUUCAAUCUUCUGUCUACCUAAAAUCCCUAGAAUAAUCUCCAUUUGGCUAUGAUGUGUUGUGCUUUUAUAUAUUACUGAAUUCUAUAUGCCAAUAUUAUUAAAAUUUUCUGUCUUUAUGAGAAA